UAAUACGUAGGGUGCAAGCGUUAAUCGGAAUUACUGGGCGUAAAGCGUACGCAGGCGGCUUUGCAAGACAGGUGUGAAAUCCCCGGGCCUAACCUGGGAACUGCAUUUGUGACUGCAUGGCUAGAGUUUGUCAGAGGGGGGUGGAAUUCCACGUGUAGCAGUGAAAUGCGUAGAUAUGUGGAGGAACACCGAUGGCGAAGGCAGCCCCCUGGGAUGUGACUGACGCUCAUGUACGAAAGCGUGGGGAGCAAACAGGAUUAGAUACCCUGGUAGUCCACGCCCUAAACGAUGUCGACUGGUUGUUGGGGGUUUGACACUCUCAGUAACGAAGCUAACGCGUGAAGUCGACCGCCUGGGGAGUACGGCCGCAAGGUUA
This 376-nucleotide ribosomal RNA is filed under the name uncultured bacterium. RNAcentral's name for it is "bacterial SSU rRNA". It matches the Rfam family "Bacterial small subunit ribosomal RNA", at positions 521 to 896 of the family's 1533-position model. The record is from RNAcentral.